Long non-coding RNA from Lagenorhynchus albirostris (white-beaked dolphin), 473 nucleotides. RefSeq lists it as uncharacterized. NCBI's taxonomy places the organism in Eukaryota, Metazoa, Chordata, Mammalia, Artiodactyla, Delphinidae. The transcript has 2 exons. The record is from RefSeq and is a predicted model, not a curated record.
GGUGGACACAGUGUCACGUGUGCUGCUGAUUAAGCCUCUGGGGUUUUCUGGCCUAGGAGCAGCUGGAGCUUUCCCCUGGGAAGAGGGAGCUGGCAGGGAAGCUGACGGAUCCACAGUAGGCCUCAGCCUAACGCAGGCCACAUCCCGAACUGGAGUUAUACUCCAGUAAAGAUGUGAAAAAAACAAAGAGGCAACGAAUGAAUGAAUGAAGCCAAAGAUGCUUCAAUGCCCGACUCUUCCUCCCCUGACUCUCAUAACGGGCACAUCUGGAGGCCCACCCCUCUGCGCGUCCCGGAGAAGCCAGCCAAGCGGCAGCGUUUGGAUGGUGGUUCUGAAGAGCAGCGUCCGGAGGACGUUAAUCCGUGUUCUGUGACAAAUAAGCCACGAUAAUGGAGCCCCUGCUGUGUUCCCUGCUGGGGGCUCAGCUCCCACCCAGAACCCAGUGGGCACUCAAUAAAGAAUCAAAGAUCCAA